GACGAACGCUGGCGGCGUGCCUAAUACAUGCAAGUUGAGCGCUGAAGGUGGGUACUUGUACCAACUGGAUGAGCAGCGAACGGGUGAGUAACGCGUGGGGAAUCUGCCUUUGAGCGGGGGACAACAUUUGGAAACGAAUGCUAAUACCGCAUAAAAACUUUAAACACAAGUUUUAAGUUUGAAAGAUGCAAUUGCAUCACUCAAAGAUGAUCCCGCGUUGUAUUAGCUAGUUGGUGAGGUAAAGGCUCACCAAGGCGAUGAUACAUAGCCGACCUGAGAGGGUGAUCGGCCACAUUGGGACUGAGACACGGGCCAAACUCCUACGGGAGGCAGCAGGAGGGAAGCUUUGGCAAAGGACGAAAGGCUGACCGAGCAACGCCGCAUGAGUGAAGAAGGGUUUCGGAUCGGAAAACUCUGUUGGUAGGGAAGAAAGUUGGUGAGAGUGGAAAGCUCAUCAAGUGACGGUAACUACCCAGAAAGGGACGGCUAACUACGUG
This 497-nucleotide ribosomal RNA is filed under the name uncultured bacterium. RNAcentral describes it as "partial 16S ribosomal RNA". It matches the Rfam family "Bacterial small subunit ribosomal RNA", at positions 28 to 507 of the family's 1533-position model. The record is from RNAcentral.